Macaca mulatta (Rhesus monkey) is the source of this 1303-nucleotide long non-coding RNA. RefSeq lists it as uncharacterized. The record is from RefSeq and is a predicted model, not a curated record. NCBI's taxonomy places the organism in Eukaryota, Metazoa, Chordata, Mammalia, Primates, Cercopithecidae.
CCAGCAGCUGCAACCCGCUUCGGUCUUGUUCUGGGUUGUGGUAGCUUUGUUCUUAUGCUUUUUGUAAUAGCUCUUGUUGCUGUUCAGUGUUUGGCGUCUCCACUACUUUUAUGAGCCGUAACACUCGGUGGGAAGAUCUGUGGCUUCGCUCCUGAAGUCAGCGAGACCGGGAACCCACCGGGAGGAACGAACAACUCGGGACGCUACACCUUUAAGAGCUGUAACAUUCACUGCAAAGGUCUGCAGUUUCACUCCUGAAGUCCGCGAGACCACAAACCCACUAGGAAGAAGGAACAACUUGGGACACGUCACCUUUUAAGAGCUGUAACACUUACGGGGAAGGCCUGCGGUUUCACUCCUGAAGUCAGCAAGACCACGAACCCAUGAGAAGGAAGAAACUCUGGACACAUCUGAACAUCUGAAGGAAUGAGCUCCGGACACACCGUCUUUAAGAACUCUAACACCACGAGAGUCCGCGGCUUCAUCCUUGGAAGUCAGCGAGACUGAAAACCCUCCGGAAGGAACCAAUUCCAGACUCAUCAAAUAUUGCAACUGAGGCUUAGAAAAGUUAAAUGCUUUUGCCGAGGAGGUCCAACUGCUGGAUUUCUGAACAAUUUGAACAAUAACAUUUAAAAAAUGGAAGAUGAAACUGUAACAUUAUCUUUAUUACUGGAAAAAAAUAAAAGUUAGAAGACUUGGCCUUAGGCCAUGGCUCUGUAUCUCCAUGAAGUAUCUCCACAUUGACGAAGAGCACCUGGAGAUUCCACAAAACCUUCUUUCCUAGGGGCAACUUGCAAACAAAAAAGGGAGAAAAAGAGGGUUAAGCCUCUUCAAUGGGUGUGUGAUUAAGGUAAAAUUUCUAUUAAAAAAUGGGAUUAUCCCAGCAACUGAUGAAGCUGAGCACGGAAAAGCAAUGAUUGCAACUUGGGAGUCUGUAACUCGAAGGGACAGAAUUCUUUAUCUGCAUAUGUCACACAUCAGAAGAUCUGUUCACUAGUUACAAUGCAGAGUGAACGUGGGACGUGGGUCUCUGUUACUUGCUGAAAUUUCCCUGAGAAAAAUGUGGCUUUUUGACGUAAGAUAACUUUCUCUAGCUCAGCCAGUUCUGCUUCCGUACUCACAAUGUCGGAGACCCUGCUUGUCUCAUUCGCACACCAUCAUUAGCAGUUCCUUCAACAAAAACAUUACAUCUUUCAGUGUAUGUAUUCCGCACUGAAUGAAAAACAAAAAUGGCACUGCAGGACUUAAGCCUUUCUGGAUUGGAGAGGAAGAGCAGAAUAUUAAUAAUAAACAGAGAAAGACA